This 403-nucleotide ribosomal RNA is filed under the name uncultured bacterium. RNAcentral describes it as "bacterial SSU rRNA". It matches the Rfam family "Bacterial small subunit ribosomal RNA", at positions 355 to 776 of the family's 1533-position model. The record is from RNAcentral.
UGAGGAAUUUUGCUCAAUGGGCGAAAGCCUGAAGCAGCGACGCCGCGUGAACGAUGAAGUCUUUCGGGAUGUAAAGUUCUGUCAGCAGGGAAAAUAAUGAUGGUACCUGCAGAGGAAGCACCGGCAAACUAUGUGCCAGCAGCCGCGGUAAUACAUAGGGUGCAAGCGUUGUCCGGAUUUACUGGGCGUAAAGGGCGUGUAGGCGGUAAUUCAAGUCAAACUUAAAAUCCUGGGGCUCAACCCCAGUUCGGGUUUGAUACUGUUUUACUUGAGAGUGGGAGAGGAAAGCGGAACUAACAGUGUAGCGGUGAAAUGCGUAGAUAUUGUUAGGAACACCCGUGGCGAAGGCGGCUUUCUGGAUCACUUCUGACGCUGAGACGCGAGAGCGUGGGGAUCAAACAGG